RNAcentral lists this long non-coding RNA (768 nucleotides) under Theobroma cacao (cacao). RNAcentral's name for it is "long non-coding RNA (TCAC_LNC000155)". The record is from RNAcentral. Lineage: Eukaryota; Viridiplantae; Streptophyta; Magnoliopsida; Malvales; Malvaceae.
GAAAGUUUAUGCUAUGAAUCUUUAGACUCAUGAUUUCCAGGUAGAUUUUAACUUGGCAGAAGCUUAUUUAGUGUCAAAAAUGGCUGCGACGAAAUGUCAACGCCCAGCCUGACCUCGAGCCAUAAUAAUCAAAGGUACUGGUUUUAUUUCUCACUUUCCACCCUUGAAUAGUAAAUUAUUCACUUUUAAACGUACCCUUUUCUCACCUUUUCUUGGCACUUCCAUUUCUGCAGCUAUUUCUUUGUGGUAAAUCUUAAUCUCAUCGGAAAUUUUGACACUUGGUAGAAGCUUAAGGAAGGUUAAGUUCGGUUACACAAAAGAAAUGUUGGAAAAUUUCAGUUGAACAGAAAUUUCUUUUUCUUGCUCUAUCUAUCACAGGCUGAUUUGCUUGCUAAUGUUCUUGCCAUACCAAAUUUUCAGUAAUUUUUUAGCAUUCCACAAAGCCGUUGAUAGGUUCUAAUGAUAUGCUAUUUGUUUCAUUAGUAUGACGACAAAAUUGGCCCGAUAAUAACAAUCACAAGUCCGUAAUGAAUUGACGAAGAUAGAAGUUCAGGGACCACUUUGAAUCUUUUCCUGCAUAGCAGAAAAGUCUUGUCUCAAAUUGCAGAGAUUUAGUCUCUGAGUUGGCUCAAACCUGCAUUGGAUGUUCGUUCCCAAGAAGUUAAAGAGUAUAUUUCUCUCAAGUGUGUAUUGUAAACUCGAUUAAGUAUAUAAAAUUGUUUGUAUGCACACCAAGCUGAAAAAUAUAUACUUUCAACUGCGAACAAA